RNAcentral lists this long non-coding RNA (218 nucleotides) under Castor canadensis (American beaver). Its description in RNAcentral is "lncRNA (ENSCCNG00000008945.1)". The record is from RNAcentral. Lineage: Eukaryota; Metazoa; Chordata; Mammalia; Rodentia; Castoridae.
AGGUGGUGGAACGAGCAAAGAUGAAUGGCUGACACAGCAUCAUUGUGUGCUCUACUAAUAAGUUCCUGAAUUUCCCUUUAGUUGGAGAAUAAGUGCCAGUGAAGCUCUCAAGCACCCCUGGUUGUCAGACCACAAGCUCCACUCCAGACUCAAUGCACAGGAAAACUGCUGUGGUUGCUGCUGCUUUGAGAAGACUUUUGAACACUCAGCAGUUCUGA